This 327-nucleotide ribosomal RNA is filed under the name uncultured eukaryote. RNAcentral describes it as "partial 18S ribosomal RNA". It matches the Rfam family "Eukaryotic small subunit ribosomal RNA", at positions 1470 to 1796 of the family's 1831-position model. The record is from RNAcentral.
CCCUUAGAUGUUCUGGGCCGCACGCGCGCUACACUGACGAAAGCAACGAGCUUAUAACCUUGGCCGAAAGGUCUGGGUAAUCUCCAAACUUCGUCGUGAUGGGGAUAGAUUAUUGCAAUUAUUAAUCUUCAACGAGGAAUGCCUAGUAAGCGCAAGUCAUCAGCUUGCGUUGAUUACGUCCCUGCCCUUUGUACACACCGCCCGUCGCUCCUACCGAUUGAAUGGUCCGGUGAAGCGUUCGGACCGUGGCUUUCUGACGGUCCGCCGUCGGAUUGCCGUGGGAAGUUCGUUAAACCUUAUCAUUUAGAGGAAGGAGAAGUCGUAACA